AUACAGAGGGUGCGAGCGUUAAUCGGAAUUACUGGGCGUAAAGCGCGCGUAGGCGGCUUAUUAAGUCAGAUGUGAAAUCCCCGGGCUCAACCUGGGAACUGCAUCUGAUACUGGUAAGCUAGAGUUUUGGAGAGGGAAGUAGGAUUUCAGGUGUAGCGGUGAAAUGCAUAGAGAUCUGAAGGAAUACCAGUGGCGAAGGCGACUUCCUGGCCAAAAACUGACGCUGAGGUGCGAAAGCGUGGGUAGCAAACGGGAGUAGAAACCCUAGUAGUCC
RNAcentral lists this ribosomal RNA (274 nucleotides) under uncultured bacterium. Its description in RNAcentral is "partial 16S ribosomal RNA". It matches the Rfam family "Bacterial small subunit ribosomal RNA", at positions 523 to 796 of the family's 1533-position model. The record is from RNAcentral.